UGGAUUCAGGUUUCUGAUAAGAUCAGCCAUA
Molecule: non-coding RNA, 31 nt
Filed under: Mus musculus (house mouse)
Lineage: Eukaryota; Metazoa; Chordata; Mammalia; Rodentia; Muridae
Source: RNAcentral